Molecule: long non-coding RNA, 705 nt
Organism: Aphis gossypii (cotton aphid)
Lineage: Eukaryota; Metazoa; Arthropoda; Insecta; Hemiptera; Aphididae
Exons: 3
Source: RefSeq, a predicted model, not a curated record
UUAUAUUACGAUUAUUUUUGUUCAGCAAGAAAAUUAACAGAAACUUUUGUUGGUCUGGUGUAGUAGAUCGAAAAGUGUUGUUUAAAUUGGAACAAUUAAAGCUUUACAAUUUUUAGAGUUCCGUACCGUAAAACAGGACUCUAUAAAUCCUCUGGCGGCUCCGCUGUCCGCCUCCAUAGUCGGUAUAGAAGAUAUCUUCUAUCACCAGGCUGUGUCUCAAUAACCGAGAAAACUAGACAGUAGAAAUUUUGACAGAUCAUGUGCUUCUGUUGCCGCAAUAACAACAAAUACUUGUCCAACUCCGGAAGGUGCUCAGACAUUUUGAGAUCUAUGCUGGACAUUUUAAGUUAUUCGAUAUUUUAGUUUAGUUACUAUUGGUUACAAUAAUAAUAAUAAUUAGCGCGUAAGAAAUAUUUGUAUUUGUAUUUUGUUUUUUAUCAUUCUUCUACGAAACAUCAAUCCGUCAAUUAAAUAUAAAAAUAUUGUGAUUAUAAAACAUCCAUGUUUUGUACAGUACUGAAGUACCUGCUAUUGAUGAGAGAAUACUGCGUCUUGUUUAACCCGCACCUACUGUAAGACUGACUAAAAUGGAUUUCGAAAACGUCGAUUACGAUUUCAAAUACUUAUUAAGUGAAACUAGUUAUGUAGAGGACGAUUGUGUUAAUGUUUUUAAUAAUAUUUUACAUCGUUAUACGUUAUCCCAGC